This 1060-nucleotide ribosomal RNA is filed under the name Pedobacter sp. 5_60. Its description in RNAcentral is "bacterial SSU rRNA". It matches the Rfam family "Bacterial small subunit ribosomal RNA", at positions 44 to 1106 of the family's 1533-position model. The record is from RNAcentral. Lineage: Bacteria; Pseudomonadati; Bacteroidota; Sphingobacteriia; Sphingobacteriales; Sphingobacteriaceae.
AGGCCUUAAUCAUGGAAUGCCAACGAGAUUGAAGAGCUUGCUCUUCAUGAAAGUGGCGCACGGGUGCGUAACGCGUAUGCAAUCUACCUUACUCAGGGGGAUAGCCCGGAGAAAUCCGGAUUAACACCGCAUAACAUAAUGAUAUGGCAUCAUAUUAUUAUCAAAUAUUAAUAGGAGUAAGAUGAGCAUGCGUGACAUUAGCUAGUUGGUAAGGUAACGGCUUACCAAGGCGACGAUGUCUAGGGGAUCUGAGAGGAUGACCCCCCACACUGGUACUGAGACACGGACCAGACUCCUACGGGAGGCAGCAGUAAGGAAUAUUGGUCAAUGGAGGCAACUCUGAACCAGCCAUGCCGCGUGCAGGAAGACGGCCCUACGGGUUGUAAACUGCUUUUGUACCGGAAUAAACCCUCUUUCGUGAAAGAGGUUGAAUGUACGGUAAGAAUAAGGAUCGGCUAACUCCGUGCCAGCAGCCGCGGUAAUACGGAGGAUCCAAGCGUUAUCCGGAUUUAUUGGGUUUAAAGGGUGCGUAGGCGGCUUAUUAAGUCAGGGGUGAAAGACGGUGGCUCAACCAUCGCAGUGCCUUUGAUACUGAUGAGCUUGAAUAUACCUGAGGUAGGCGGAAUGUGACAAGUAGCGGUGAAAUGCAUAGAUAUGUCACAGAACACCAAUUGCGAAGGCAGCUUACUAAAGUAUAAUUGACGCUGAGGCACGAAAGCGUGGGGAUCAAACAGGAUUAGAUACCCUGGUAGUCCACGCCCUAAACGAUGAACACUCGAUGUUGGCGAUAUACAGUCAGCGUCUAAGCGAAAGCGUUAAGUGUUCCACCUGGGGAGUACGCCCGCAAGGGUGAAACUCAAAGGAAUUGACGGGGGCCCGCACAAGCGGAGGAGCAUGUGGUUUAAUUCGAUGAUACGCGAGGAACCUUACCCGGGCUUGAAAGUUACUGAAUGAUCCAGAGAUGGAUCAGUCCUUCGGGACAGGAAACUAGGUGCUGCAUGGCUGUCGUCAGCUCGUGCCGUGAGGUGUUGGGUUAAGUCCCGCAACGAGCGCAACCCCC